GGUCCUCUUUAACAUAGAAUGGGAUAUUAAGGCAGCUUGCAGGUUAGAAUCGCAGGCUGCACAGUUUGUGGAAACUCUGUCAUAUUUAAACUUUUUUGUAUUGCCCAUGUGAAGCGUAUGUGGAUAAUGUUUGCAAUUUGUUUUUUAUCUGAUAUUGUGUAUGAUUGAUUUUUGUAUUACGGAUGUUUUUAGUGUUGUUUGUUUUUAAUGCAGGUCACCCCCCCCCCUCCGGACAAAUUGGAAGUUGGGUGUGGCCCUAGAGAAAUUUAGGAAGGAUAUUUAACACUGAGUCUGAGGGAAUUCAGUUCCUCAACCCCUGACGAAGCCUAAGGCGAAAACCGGGUCGGGUGUGAUUUUAUGAAAUGUCUUUUUUCGCAUGGACUUUGAUCUGCUCAGUAGAGAUCUUCAAUAUAAAAGCCUUCUCCUGAUUGACCCAUCAAUGAUGGACAGGGACAAGAUGGCGGAGAGUAUAAUAAAUCUCACCCUAGAGAUCCUCUUCCGGCUUACUGGAGAGGACUACACAGUGGUAAAGAAGACCUCUAGUGAGCG
Long non-coding RNA from Bufo gargarizans (Asiatic toad), 549 nucleotides. RefSeq lists it as uncharacterized. The record is from RefSeq and is a predicted model, not a curated record. The transcript has 3 exons. NCBI's taxonomy places the organism in Eukaryota, Metazoa, Chordata, Amphibia, Anura, Bufonidae.